GCCCCCCCCCCGUGGAGGGACACGGCGCCUGACGCAUGACGUACGGCUGUAGUGCGCGCCCUUACGCAUGAGAAGUGUUAAGUUCUCCCUUUUGGAGUAGGUUGGGAACGGGGGCGGGGAGGUUGGGGGAGACGAGUUUUGUUUUUUUAAGUGGGACGUGUAGGGGGAAAAGGAAGAAAAGCGGGGCGAAAAGGAAUGUCCUACGGUGGCCGCGGAGGAACGACUACUACGGUUCCCGCACUGGGACAAACGCUUCCCACGGACGGCCUAAGGCUCCCCUUCCCCAGCUGGGCCGACCCUGGUUGGGGCCCAUGAUGGGCAUGCACGGGAGGGGGCCCCCGGCGGCCUCUCCCCGGCCCUGGGGCUGACCCUGUCGGUGACCUUCCGACCUUCCUCCGAGGGCCCGACACCAUGCGGCCUCCUCCCCCCUCGUUCUGCCGCUCCGGCCUCGAGGGACAACAGGGGCCCCAGCUUCGCCGGCCCCCGGUCCUGGCCUCCACCCCGCCGGCCCCCGGCCACAGGCCUCGGGACUGCCACCCCACCGCGGAGGAGGCCGCGCACGGCAUGUGCCUCCCUGGAAGUUCAACAGAGAGUUCACAGGCCUAGGCUCUUCACUUCUGUUCCUUGCCCAUGGAUGAUGCUUAUUAUGCACACAGUCUGUCCUCCUCUAGAACUCAGUGAGCCGUGGGGUACCCAAUGCCUGUAAUUCCCAUACCCCGGCGUGUGCGGUCUUUUCACGGCCCCCAUACCACAUGCCUGCAUUCUGCCUGUGGGCCUGUAAGAACCACUCACUUAGUGCGUACCAAGUACAACAACUUCGACAUCUAUUUGAAGUCCCGAUGGAUGUAUGGAUUUAUUCGCUUCCUGCUGUAUUUCAGCUGCAGCCUGUUUACCUCCAUCCUCUGGGUGGCGCUCUCCAUCCUGUUUUGCCUUCAAUACCUUGGCAUCCGCAUCUUUCUGCGUUUCCAGUACAAGCUGUCCAUCAUUCUCCUACUGCUGGGACGAAGGCGGGUUGAUUUCAGCUUGAUGAAUGAGCUGCUCAUUUAUGGGAUUCAUGUGACUAUGCUGCUGGUGGGAGGUCUGGGCUGGUGUUUCAUGGUCUUUGUGGACAUGUAAAUAGGAGGUGUGCAUGCAGGCUUGGGCAGCUAUGACUACAUCUAAUGUAUCCACUUUCUCCUUUGGUUUAAUUUAUUUAUUUAUGACUGAUAUAUGUAUAUGCAGUAUAUAGAUAUUUUCUUUGGUAAAGGCAAUGUACCUGUCUGAAAUGACAUGACACAGGAGGAAUGUUGGAUCAUUUUUCCUUCUGUUUGUUUCCAAUCCCAAAGAAGGGGGUUUCACCAUACCAAACAAAGAAAGUAGUGCCCUUUUCAGUGGCAGUAUUUUUAUUUGCUCUCUGACCAUCUUACUAUGUUAUGGCAUGGUAAAGAAAAGGGCUGUGACAUUUGUAAAGGAGAAAUUGAAGCUCUUCCCUCCUUCAAUUUGCUUUUUGGCUUUCUGCUUCCCCUCCCCUUGCUCUGCUACAUUGUAUUCUUCCCCUUUCCUCUAUUUUAAUGUAGUUUAUGUUCACAUUUAAUAAAUCUAGUGCUGUAGGGUCCUCUUUAUCAAGUCUGCACUUUCAGGACCUUGAUGAAGCUUCCUCUUCUCCUGACCAGUUACACAUUUUGGGGUAUUCAUUCCUCACAGUUUUGCUCUGUGUACUGGCCAAAAGUGCAAGCCUGGAAGCAGUUUCCCUUCCUUCCCUAUGGGGUAAAUUCCCAUUCUUCCUUAGUGUUCCUAACCCCUACCCUGCCCUUAGGAAAAAGUUAGACUCCACUAUAGUAAUGCAAUGCACUGCCAUUAAGCCACUUGCUUGGCCCUGGGCUUCUAGAAGGUUUGCACAGGUCUAAUGCAAGUUCAUCUUUCUUAAAUCAAACAAAGAGCUACAAUUGAGAAAUGAAAUGAUGAGGUUAAAUGCUAGUCUUAAAACCUGGAGGGAAGUGAUUAAUUUUGUUUGGUUACAACCAGAUUUGGUGUUUCACAGACUUAAGCCCAAUCUGAAAGCAAACUGAAGCAAACAGUGCCAAGAUCUUCAUUCAUGGAGUCUGGUUCUAAUGCCAUAGCUCAUAAGAGCUGUGUUCUCUGGAUCACUGUAAGUUUCAGUGGUGCCAAAUUCAAAAGCAAAGCAAAUAUAGAUCCCUUUGUGCAUCAGUGGCCAGGUCUGUAGAGAAGACAAUAUUACAUUAUAAAAUAUCUUAAUCUAUCUAAAUUAACUUCUCUGGGAAGGCCAAUAAAUGUAGUACUUGCUUUGGAAGGCUUUUGAAUUCUUCAUUAUUUUCUUCAGUAAUCUCCCAGAAUUUGACUUUCUGAAACACUGAAGUUAUAUGAAAUCUUUGGACAAACAACACUGAAGUUAAUUAUUUAGCAUGAAAAUAAAAAUUUUAAUGGUUUAUUUUUAAAAGAAUUUCUUCCAACUUUUAAGGCAUUUGAAUGAACAUUGAAUCUUUGUUUAUUAAGGGCUUGUCUGCUCUGUAUUUCCUGCCUUGGUUGCUAUGAAAACAUUUAAGACAUAAGAUGAAUUCAGGUACAUAAAGAGAUGCAGGAACAGAUGGACUACAAAGGAACAAAGAUCCUAUUUUCAUUGGAAUAUCCUUAAAUUAUAAGGAAGGAAAGUAAAAUAAAAUAUACAAGAGAAUCUUUUCCUGGGCAUUUUCUGUCAUCAUUCUUUAGUAGAUAUUUUUAUACAGUGGCUAGGAUUACUACUUGAGGGAAGCAAUUACUGGCUAUUGAGAAGAUAACUGGUAAGCUAAUGUUGGUCACCCAUUCCCUGUGCCCCAAAAAUCAUUAUCUCUGAAUCUCAUGUGUGAUGGUCGAAGUGAACAAUUGCAUUCUCAUUUGACACAAGCAUCAGCACAUAUACCCUUCUCCAGGACAAGGGCAAGAAAAAAUUGAGGGGAGCAAAGAAACCCUUUUCUAACCUUAGUUGUUAGGACUGAUUGUAAGAAAAAAUACAUGUCAUUUGACAAGCUUAAGAAAGUUAAAAUCAGGGAAAAUUAUGGUUGUAGAAAAAUUUGCUCUUUGAAUUUUUUUUAAGUUUGCUUCUCUGCAAAAAAAAUUUCUAAGGUGGUUGAAUAAACUAGUUAAGCAAAGCUAGUUUUAGAAAUUGAUUAUGUGAUGGGCAGAAAUGAUAGCUUUAAAUGCAUUGACUUCAUUUUUACUGCCUGCUAAUCUGAUUGCACUAGUCAUGCAGAUUAUUUUUUCAAAAAAUUUUCCUUUUUUAAUUCAUUAAGCCUAAAUCCACUAAAACAUGUCUUUGAAGUGGAGCUCCCUAUUGGAUGCACUGAUUGAGGGUUCUAGUAUGAGCGUGUUUUAACAAAGUCCUGAUAGCAAAAGGAAUCUUGCUAUUUAGCCUAUGAAUGUAUAAACAGUAAUGCAAAUGUUUGAAUUGUACCUUGAAUUGACUUUGGAACACACAAAAACAAAAACAGCUCAAUGUCUUGAGUGCCUGUUAAAUUCUUUAUGAAUCGUACCACCUGCAUUAAACUUAUUUUUUUAAUGUG
This is a non-coding RNA of Monodelphis domestica (gray short-tailed opossum), 3536 nucleotides long. NCBI's taxonomy places the organism in Eukaryota, Metazoa, Chordata, Mammalia, Didelphimorphia, Didelphidae. The record is from RefSeq and is a predicted model, not a curated record.